GUCCACGCUGUAAACGAUGCAUACUAGGCGUAGUAGGAUUCAACCCUUACUGUGUCGGAGCUAACGCGUUAAGUAUGCCGCCUGGGAAGUACGCUCGCAAGGGUGAAACUCAAAAGAAUUGACGGGGGCCCCGCACAAGCAGUGGAGCAUGUGGUUUAAUUCGAUGCAACGCGAAGAACCUUACCCAGGCUCGAAGUGUAGAGGACAAUACCCGAAAGGGUAUCUCCCGCAAGGGUCUCUAUAUAGGUGCUGCAUGGCUGUCGU
RNAcentral lists this ribosomal RNA (264 nucleotides) under uncultured bacterium. Its description in RNAcentral is "partial 16S ribosomal RNA". It matches the Rfam family "Bacterial small subunit ribosomal RNA", at positions 793 to 1055 of the family's 1533-position model. The record is from RNAcentral.